ACACCACUCAAGCCCCCGGGCUUGGCGUUGGGGAUCGGCAUCCGGCCUGGCGGCCCCUCGGGGCCCCGCCCGCCGUCCCCCAAAUACAUCGGCGGUCGCCCGUGGGCUCCCCUGCGUAGUAGCAACACCUCGCACCGGACGUCCCGCGCGGCCACGCCGUAAAACCCCCGACUUUUUUCAG
Molecule: unclassified non-coding RNA, 181 nt
Filed under: uncultured Cylindrocarpon
Lineage: Eukaryota; Fungi; Ascomycota; Sordariomycetes; Hypocreales; Nectriaceae
Description: sequence contains ITS2
Source: RNAcentral